Pteropus vampyrus (large flying fox) is the source of this 282-nucleotide unclassified non-coding RNA. Its record names the gene 7SK. It matches the Rfam family "7SK RNA". Rfam says of the family: 7SK was discovered as an abundant small nuclear RNA in the mid-70s but a possible function has only recently been suggested. Two independent studies have found that 7SK RNA binds the CDK9/cyclin T complex (known as elongation factor P-TEFb). P-TEFb activates transcription by phosphorylating the C-terminal domain of RNA polymerase II. The record is from Ensembl. Lineage: Eukaryota; Metazoa; Chordata; Mammalia; Chiroptera; Pteropodidae.
AAAUGUUAGGGAGAUUUGGCUGUGACAUGUCACCCCAAUGAUCACCAAGGUUGAUUCGGCUAAUCUGGCUGGCUGGGCAGGUGUCUCCUUCCUCCCUUGCAGCUCCAUGUGCAUCUCUCCCCAAGCUACCCGCUCAGUGGAAGAGGACAACUUUCCCUGAUAGAGAACAGAACUAGGAUAUAGACAUAUGUAUAAUAACACUGAUAUACACAUUUAUUUCUAUAUCUAUCCAUCUAUAUAUACACAUAUAUUAAAAAUUAUGAGUUCAUACUAAUAUCUUUU